UCCGGUGUGCUUUAGUUGGCUAUAAUAUGUUAGGAUCGGAGCUUGAUUCGGGAUCCGCCUGACAAGACCCAAGUUCGAUCCUUGGCGCUGGAC
Non-coding RNA from Mytilinidion resinicola, 93 nucleotides. NCBI's taxonomy places the organism in Eukaryota, Fungi, Ascomycota, Dothideomycetes, Mytilinidiales, Mytilinidiaceae. The record is from the annotation of a RefSeq genome assembly.